Long non-coding RNA from Oncorhynchus keta (chum salmon), 1464 nucleotides. RefSeq lists it as uncharacterized. Lineage: Eukaryota; Metazoa; Chordata; Actinopteri; Salmoniformes; Salmonidae. The transcript has 2 exons. The record is from RefSeq and is a predicted model, not a curated record.
UAGAACCCCUCUACAUGGCUGAAAUCGUCUGGAGGUUAAAGAGACCCGACAGUCACCUACCAUCACACACACAGGAUUGAGCCAAGAGGACAACAGGACUAGCAACGGACAUCCUCUGACCUGUCUGUGAUUUUCUUCAGCUCUUCGCCAACUUCUACAGGGAACUAUGAUGGUUGGCCAACAGAGACUUCUCCUCACCGUGGCAACCUGCCUAUUUCUCCUAGCAACCCUAUGCCCCACCUUAGAGGCUCGUCGUGGUGGCAGCUUCGGACGUAGUGGCGGUGGGGGUGGGGAGGUAGUAGACGUGGAGGUAGCGGUUACCCUCGUCAAGGUGGAGGCACGGGAUACCGACCAAUGCCAUCCUCGAGCGGACCGGUAUACCGACCAAUGCCUGCCCAGAGUGGAGGCUCCAGUGUGGGGAAGAUGGCAGGGGCUGCUGCUGCUGGUGCCGUGGGGGGAGCAAUGCUGGGCAGUGCCCUGAGUCGUCCUGGCUAUGGAGGAGGAUAUGGGGGGUAUGGAGGUGGUUAUGGGGGGGGUUAUGGAGGCUAUGGAGGAGGCUAUGGGGGCUACCCGAGAGGUGGAGGGUAUGGCCCCAGGCCUGGUGGCUAUGAGGGACCAGAGGGCUCUGGGGAUAUGGAGUACUACUAUGGAGCAUCCAGCGGGCCCAUCUAUAACAGCAUCAUCGUCAUCAUUGGGUCACUAAUGUCACUGGUGAUGGGGCACUGGAUGGGAGUGAUGUAGAGAUAUAGUAAACAGAAAGAGAGGGAUAGAGUUACAACUAAAGAUAGACCAAGACCAUGUGUAUAUAAAGACUCUUGAGACCAAGACUAGACUCUGACCCCAGACCCAGACCAAGACCUUGGGUAUUGAGUCCCAAACCAUGACUGAACACUAAUCUCACAGGUUGUGAUUCCAUCUAAUUAGAUUUGCAGGUGUAGUGGAGCAAAUACACUUCCUGUAUAGCUCCCUGAUCCAGAAACACACUGAUGCAGAUUCUUUGUCAACUAACUAUUUGCACAACAUUUGUUUUCUGAGACAUACUUAAACAACAUACAAAAAUCUAGUGUGAUAAUUGACCUUCCAGUCGAGCACUCACUACCUCAAUAACACAUGAUUUACUUUAUAUUUUAUUUACCAUGGUUGCUAUCAACACUUUAAUAUUGCCAUGCUGUGGACAUACAGUAUAAAGGUCAAUCUUUAUUUGAAAUAGUCCCGUUAAAACAGGUUUAACUUAUUUCAACACCUGGUAGAACACUGGCAGCGUUUGGAUUUGGAUUUGUAAAUUCUGUAUAUUGUACAAUUCUAUGAAUUUUAUUUUGUUUCCAUUAUUUUUCUUACUUUAUUAAAUAGGCUGUGUGUGUGGUGGAGUGUAUAAAUUCUAGUAUGAUCCAAAAAGUUUUUGUUUUGGUGUCAUUUGAUGUAUUUUUCCUGUGGGGUUAUUCCAAUAAAGACAUGAGAGACAGA